AAUCCAUGGUGAGGGCACUGUCUCAAUAAGUCUUUAUACCUCUCCCAUGCAUCAUAUAACAUUUCAAAAUUGAUUUGCACAAAGGAAGAGAUGUCGUUCCUUAACUU
Gossypium raimondii (Peruvian cotton) is the source of this 107-nucleotide small nucleolar RNA. It matches the Rfam family "Plant small nucleolar RNA R71". From Rfam's summary of the family: R71 is a member of the C/D box family of snoRNAs containing the C (UGAUGA) and D (CUGA) box motifs. Multiple nearly identical copies of this snoRNA have been identified in Arabidopsis, and it is thought to function as a 2'-O-ribose methylation guide for 18S ribosomal RNA. Lineage: Eukaryota; Viridiplantae; Streptophyta; Magnoliopsida; Malvales; Malvaceae. The record is from Rfam.